GUGGCACGAUUAUGCAAGGAAGACAUAGAUCAAUUUCAGUUGGCCUUUAGUCCAAACGUGGAAGCUCAGCAUUAGCCCCUGCGAGUUUUUCUCUUGUUUUCUUUAUCUUUAUUUUGUCUUUGUCUGUUUGAGUGGCUGGCUCUAGUGGUUGAGAGUUUCAAGUGGGAGUUGUAAUUGUCUGCAUUUUUUUCUUUUUUCCUCGUCUAAUAAAAAUACGGCAAAAGGUGUUUGCCGCCUUUCGAAGAAAAAAGUAAUCCUGAGAGGUCUUGAUG
Molecule: long non-coding RNA, 272 nt
Filed under: Sorghum bicolor (sorghum)
Lineage: Eukaryota; Viridiplantae; Streptophyta; Magnoliopsida; Poales; Poaceae
Description: long non-coding RNA (SBIC_LNC009650)
Source: RNAcentral